This 429-nucleotide ribosomal RNA is filed under the name uncultured bacterium. Its description in RNAcentral is "bacterial SSU rRNA". It matches the Rfam family "Bacterial small subunit ribosomal RNA", at positions 355 to 775 of the family's 1533-position model. The record is from RNAcentral.
UGGGGAAUCUUGCGCAAUGGCCGAAAGGCUGACGCAGCGACGCCGCGUGCGGGAUGAAGCUUUUCGGAGUGUAAACCGCUGUCGGGUGGGACGAAGGUCCCGGGGAGGAAAUGCCUUGGGGAUGACGGUACCACCAAAGGAAGCACCGGCUAACUUCGUGCCAGCAGCCGCGGUAAUACGAAGGGUGCGAGCGUUGUUCGGAAUUAUUGGGCGUAAAGCGCACGUAGGCGGCCUUGUAAGUCUCACUGUGAAAGUCCGGGGCUCAACCCCGGGAUUGCAGGGGAUACUGCGAGGCUUGAGACAAGUAGAGGUUGGUAGAAUUCCGGGUGUAGCGGUGGAAUGCGUAGAGAUCCGGAGGAAUACCAGAGGCGAAGGCGGCCAACUGGGCUUGUUCUGACGCUGAGGUGCGAAAGCGUGGGGAGCGAACAG